Long non-coding RNA from Trematomus bernacchii (emerald rockcod), 475 nucleotides. RefSeq lists it as uncharacterized. The record is from RefSeq and is a predicted model, not a curated record. NCBI's taxonomy places the organism in Eukaryota, Metazoa, Chordata, Actinopteri, Perciformes, Nototheniidae. The transcript has 3 exons.
CUUUGAACUGUUUCCUGUUUCAGAUCAAAGUGUGUGACACCUGUCAGCACACAGAAAGGAGUAAAAACCUGGCCAGGACGGUCCGGCCCAUUAAAGUGGACGCACCUUGGGAGAUCGUUGGGAUCGACAUUAUAGGGCCUUUCCCAGAGACGCAGCAGGGGAACUCUAACGUCAUAGUGCUCAUCGAUUACUUCAGUAAAUGGCCCGAAGCUUUUCCGGUUCAGAGGACGGACGCUCUCUCUGUCGCAAAAUGUAUUUCCAAAUGCAUAUACAGGUUUGGUGCCCCUAAAACAAUAGUGUGCACGCAGAACGCUGACUUCUGUGAUGAGGUGAGAUUAUUAAAAUACUGUAAAUAAAUAUUAAAGCACAGAUGUAAACACCCAUGCUGCUGUUUUCACAACAUACGAUGAUACUUUAUUAUCAGAUAAAGUCUGGAAGGUUUUUUGCAUCACUGCAGGACCAUUUGCAACUUAAA